RNAcentral lists this ribosomal RNA (253 nucleotides) under uncultured bacterium. RNAcentral's name for it is "partial 16S ribosomal RNA". It matches the Rfam family "Bacterial small subunit ribosomal RNA", at positions 524 to 776 of the family's 1533-position model. The record is from RNAcentral.
UACGGGGGGAGCAAGCGUUGUUCGGAUUUACUGGGCGUAAAGGGCGCGUAGGCGGCGCAACAAGUCACUUGUGAAAUCUUCAGGCUUAACCUGAAGCGGCCAAGUGAUACUGUCGUGCUAGAGUGCGGAAGGGGCAACUGGAAUUCUUGGUGUAGCGGUGAAAUGCGUAGAUAUCAAGAGGAACACCUGCGGCGAAGGCGGGUUGCUGGGCCGACACUGACGCUGAGGCGCGAAAGCCAGGGGAGCGAACGGG